This 948-nucleotide long non-coding RNA is filed under the name Homo sapiens (human). RNAcentral describes it as "non-protein coding lnc-BORA-23:1". The record is from RNAcentral. Lineage: Eukaryota; Metazoa; Chordata; Mammalia; Primates; Hominidae.
AUACAGAUUAAGACCUUUUUGUUUUUCAUGUCGUCAACUCACUCCCCCUAUGCUCCCCCUUCAAACUGGACUCCAAGUCACUUUACCCACCAGGGCUUAGGGCAAGGAUAACUGUUUUAGAAUUUAAGAUAACUCUAACACUUGUGUCACCUCAGAACUACUCUAGAUCAUGGCAUGCUAGCCAAUUCUCCUACACCUUGAGACAUAUUAGGGAAAAACAAACUGUAAAGAGGAGUAAUGUAAAUCUGUCCAAACCAGAACAUUUGCAGUUUUACUUUAAUGCCAAAAACAGUGCCUUUGUUCAAUGACACCUGAACAUCAGUUUAUGUAAAGGCUUAGCAGGUGGAUUAGCAGAUGGUAGUCAGAAUUCCCAAGUUUACCACUAAUAUUCAUUACUUCAUCAAAACCAAGAUGAAAAAAAAAAACUAUUUAAAAGACAAGGCUAAGCAUAUAUCAAGUCCUAUUAUGUAGACUAGUGAGCUAAAUUUUGCAUUCUACAGUGAUUAUCUGGGGGAAAUUAAGGCAUUAACUAAAGACAUUGAUAAAUAUUUCUAUCAAUUUGCUCAGACAAAAAUGUUUUUUAAACUACAGACUAUAGCAUAAUUAUUCAAAAUAAACAGUAAUUAACUGAACUAAAUCAAGCAACACAAGGGUUUGCAAAUUUGCCCUGUGGUUUACCAGCUGUGCUUUUUACUGUCUGCACUGUGAAUUUACACUCAUGCUUCGAGUUCUCAAGAGGUGGUAGAAAAUUGAAGUGUGUUUUAGAAGCAUAUUAAGCAAGGGUAAAGUUACUAAUUUAGUCUGUCUAAGUCAUCUAGCAAUGAGAGAUUUACUUUUUUAAAAAUCAGUAUGAAGCAAGUUUAACGAGCCUUUAUUGAAUACCUACUAUACGCUGAGAGCUAUGUGAAACCUAGAGAUAAGAACUUAAGUAAGACAUGUAGAGUGCAA